UGGAGUAGACUAAGAGACAUCACUCUUUAAAUCAGUGACAUUUUGAACUGGAGAAUGGACCUGACAAAUCAAACAAACUGGGUCAACUGGACUGACCAAAGUCCAACGCAAAACCUUACAGAGGGAAAUUACCACUCUUUUACUUCUGAGACUGGAUAUGAAAAUGUCAUUCCCCUCAUAGACGAACCUAUUUAUGAGGUUCUACCACACGAGGUGAUACUACUAAGUCUCUGCUACGGUAGUAUAUCAGUAGCCGCUGUCUUCGGUAAUGGGCUGGUGAUCUGGGUCAUCGCCACUAGUCG
Molecule: long non-coding RNA, 302 nt
Organism: Macrosteles quadrilineatus (aster leafhopper)
Lineage: Eukaryota; Metazoa; Arthropoda; Insecta; Hemiptera; Cicadellidae
Exons: 3
Source: RefSeq, a predicted model, not a curated record